RNAcentral lists this unclassified non-coding RNA (2153 nucleotides) under Ceratitis capitata (Mediterranean fruit fly). RNAcentral's name for it is "protein VAC14 homolog, transcript variant X2". Lineage: Eukaryota; Metazoa; Arthropoda; Insecta; Diptera; Tephritidae. The record is from RNAcentral.
AAUUAGUGAUCAGCUGAGAAAACAAAGAAUAAAAAGUAAAUUACCAGCUGCUUGUAUCCAAUAUUUUUCAACAUUCGCAAAACUUAAAAAUACUACUUUAAUACUCGAUUAUUAUCUGGAAAGAAAAGGAAGAACAAGUAACAUCCUAAGCAAUGGAAUCUCCUUAUGCCCCUUUGAGCGAGAGCUGCGCAAAAGCUCUUGCUGAUAAAGCUUAUGAAAAACGUAAGGUAGCAUCACAGGAAAUAGAAAAAAUGGUGACGGACUUCAAUAUGAAGAAAAACACAAUACAGAUAAGAAAACUUAUAGAAGUUCUUUCCAACGAUUUUGCGACAUCUCGAGAUCCUAAUCGACGUAAGGGUGGCUUAAUAGGCUUAGCCGCAACUAGCCUUGGAUUAGGGAAGGAUUCUGAAAGUUAUGUAAGUGAAUUGGUUACACCAAUUGUCAACUGCCUUAGUGACCCUGAUGUUCGAGUUCGCUAUUUUGCCUGCGAAUCUUUGUACAAUGUAGUAAAAGUAGCAAGGGCUGCUAUCAUACCAUUUUUCCCAGAACUGUUUUCUGCAUUAUCGCGAUUGGUAGCGGAUUCUGAUCAAAUGGUCAAGGAUGGCAGUGAAUUGCUUGAUCGGCUGUUGAAGGAUAUUGUAACGGAGUCUUCACAAACUUUUAACUUAGAGGCAUUUAUACCUCUUCUCAAAGAACGUAUUUACGCCAAAAAUUCGUUUGCUAGGCAAUACGUUAUAUCAUGGAUUUCAAUUUUAAAUGCGGUACCAGAAAUAAAUAUGCUGAUUUAUUUAACUGAUAUUUUGGAUGGACUCUUUACAAUGUUAGAAGAUAACACAUUAGAAAUUCAGCGAAUGUGCGAAACCACACUUAGCCAGUUUUUGAAAACCAUUAAAAGUGAUUCAUCUUCUGUGCGAAUGGAAGACACAAUAAAUAUUCUUAUAAUUCAUGCUCAAUCUCCGAACGAACUAAUAAAAUCUAUUGCUAUAACUUGGAUACGUGAAUUUGUACAAAUUUUUGGACCAAAUGUAUUACCUCACGCGAGCGGAAUAUUUACUGCAAUUUUACCAUGUCUGGAAUACAAUGUAGAUUCAAAAAAAAACAUAAAGGAAUGUGCGGUUUCGGUGAACAACUCCAUCAUGUCAUUAAUAUCAUCCUCGGAACAUAAAUCCCAAAAUAUAGAAAAAAUUGAUUUACGUUCCGUUAUGGAAGUGUUAUCCCAGUAUUUAACACAUAAUUCAGUGCACACGAAAAUUGCAGUUCUAAAAUGGAUUCAUCAUCUCUUUACACAUUUUCCCAGCGAGAUGUCACCACAUGCCAGCAAUUUAGGUGCAAAUUUGCUGGGCAUAUUGUCGGAUAAUUCAGAUGAAGUUGUGCUGCAGUGCUUAUCUGUUUUGGCGGAAAUCUUAAAUUCAACAUAUAAUAAAGAUUCUAACGACUUUAACAAGGUACAUUAUCGGAAAUUUCUACUGAGUUUAAUCAAUUUGUUUGGCGAAGAAAAGAAGUUUUUGGAUAAUCGUGCCAGCCUUAUAAUUAGGCAGUUGUGUGUUUUGCUGAAUGCGGAAUAUAUAUAUCGAACAUUUUCGGAAAUCAUUGAUGAAGAAGUUAUUAAAUUUGCGUCGACUAUGGUGCGCUUACUUAAUAUGAUAUUACUAACAUCACCAGAAUUGUUUGAAUUGCGGAAUGCGUUACGGGACAUCACAAAUGAGCAUUCUGCCAGUUUAUUCAAAUGCCUUUACAGAAGUUGGGCUCAUUGUCCAGUCUCCACACUGUGUCUAUGUUUAUUAACACAAAGUUAUCAACAUGUUUCCCAACUUGUAGUAUUAUUGCGCGUAUAGUGGUCGCUUCUUGCCAGAGAUUUUCCCGCCCUGCAAGUGUAUUUCUGACAUGAUUUAAAAGCUCCUCAUAAAAAUGAGUUGACCAUUCGAAUGGGGCUUAGAAUAAACUGUAAGUUCCUAGAGGAAACAUCAAAACCUACAUCACAAAUGGGAAUAAUUGUGCCCGUAAAUUCAUACUGUUAGGAAAAAUAUGCAUAUAUCAAUACAGUAAAAAUGAUCACGAUGAUGAUAUUUAAAACGCCGACGUGGAGAUUACCUUGGAACUAUUAAAUGAACUAGACAAACUAGUACAGCUAAUAGAAUCACCGAUAUUUGCAU